Molecule: ribosomal RNA, 432 nt
Filed under: uncultured bacterium
Lineage: Bacteria
Description: bacterial SSU rRNA
Rfam family: Bacterial small subunit ribosomal RNA
Source: RNAcentral
AACGAACGCUGGCGGCAGGCCUAACACAUGCAAGUCGAGCGAGACCUUCGGGUCUAGCGGCGGACGGGUUGGUAACGCGUGGGAACGUGCCCUUCUCUGCGGAAUAGCCACUGGAAACGGUGAGUAAUACCGCAUACGCCCUUCGGGGGAAAGAUUUAUCGGAGAAGGAUCGGCCCGCGUUAGAUUAGAUAGUUGGUGGGUAACGGCCUACCAAGUCUACGAUCUAUAGCUGGUUUUAGAGGAUGAUCAGCAACACUGGGACUGAGACACGGCCCAGACUCCUACGGGAGGCAGCAGUGGGGAAUCUUAGACAAUGGGCGCAAGCCUGAUCUAGCCAUGCCGCGUGUGUGAUGAAGGUCUUAGGAUCGUAAAGCACUUUCGCCAGGGAUGAUAAUGACAGUACCUGGUAAAGAAACCCCGGCUAACUCCGUG